Molecule: ribosomal RNA, 275 nt
Filed under: uncultured bacterium
Lineage: Bacteria
Description: partial 16S ribosomal RNA
Rfam family: Bacterial small subunit ribosomal RNA
Source: RNAcentral
CCUACGGGGGGCUGCAGUCGAGGAUCUUCGGCAAUGGGGGCAACCCUGACCGAGCGACGCCGCGUGGGCGACGAAGGCCUUCGGGUUGUAAAGCCCUGUCGAGGGGGAGGAAGGGCAACUUGACCCAUCCCUGGAGGAAGCACGGGCUAAGUUCGUGCCAGCAGCCGCGGUAAGACGAACCGUGCGAACGUUGUUCGGAAUCACUGGGCUUAAAGGGCGCGUAGGCGGGCCGCCGCGUCCGGGGUGAAAUCCUCCCGCUCAACGGGGGAACGGCC